RNAcentral lists this ribosomal RNA (579 nucleotides) under uncultured fungus. RNAcentral's name for it is "eukaryotic LSU rRNA". The stretch from base 227 to 380 matches the Rfam family "5.8S ribosomal RNA". The record is from RNAcentral. Lineage: Eukaryota; Fungi.
AAGUCGUAACAAGGUUUCCGUAGGUGAACCUGCGGAAGGAUCAUUAUCGAGUUAGGGUCUUCUAGGCCCGAUCUCCAACCCUGUGUCUAUUAUACCACGUUGCUUCGGCGGGCCCGUCUCACGACCGCCGGAGGGUGAUUAUCACCCUCUGGCCCGCGCCCGUCGAUGGCCUAAUCUAAAACUCUGUAUAACUGUGUUUGUCUGAGUAAACCAAAAAAUAAAUAAAAACUUUCAACAACGGAUCUCUUGGUUCUGGCAUCGAUGAAGAACGCAGCGAAAUGCGAUAAGUAAUGCGAAUUGCAGAAUUCCGUGAGUCAUCGAAUCUUUGAACGCACAUUGCGCCCUUUGGUAUUCCGAAGGGCAUGCCUGUUCGAGCGUCAUUAUCACCCCUCAAGCCUGGCUUGGUGUUGGACUCUCGGUCUGUUACAGGACCGGUCCCAAAGAUAAUGGCAGGUUGGUCGCGACCUCGGUACACUGAGCUUUCACAAGCACGUACUUGCAGGCGGCGAGCAGCCUGGUCUACCCCCCAAUUUUUAUAAGGUUGACCUCGGAUCAGGUAGGGAUACCCGCUGAACUUAA